Long non-coding RNA from Podarcis raffonei (Aeolian wall lizard), 667 nucleotides. RefSeq lists it as uncharacterized. NCBI's taxonomy places the organism in Eukaryota, Metazoa, Chordata, Lepidosauria, Squamata, Lacertidae. The record is from RefSeq and is a predicted model, not a curated record. The transcript has 3 exons.
GUAUCGUUAAAAAAAAGUCACCCUGGCCCCACUCCCCAAUUUCAUUCAGCGUUGCAUAGAAUUGCCGGGUCUAACGGUGCAAAACGAUGGAACCUGAGAAGGCAAGGAGAAGAAUCUGCCUCUGUGGGAGAACUGAGCAGCCGUAGGCCUUCCUGACCAGACGCCUCCAUUUUUCACCUCUUUGAGGUCUCUUGACCAUAUUACUGGAGGGCUGCAGCCAGACUGACCCAGCUGAGGGUUUCUGGGAGCUGGUUGACUCAGUUAAAUGCGAGGUCCCAAGUCCAAGCACCGUUUGCAACAGAAGCCUCAUGAUAACCUCAGGUGCACUUCUUGGGUCCUGUAGCGUUGCAGGUCCAGCAGAAAGCAAAGACUUUGGCCGAGCUUGGGUCACCCGGACCGUGUGAACACAAGAAUUAAAGGACUUUCCUGCUGUUUGGCCUGCCUCAGACGCGGCCUUCUUGGCUCAUCCUUCUCGUUAGAGCAGAACGGGGUUUUCGGAGAGAGCAACUGAGGCAUGGAACCAAGGGUCAGGACCAGGGAGCUGCCCCCAAGAGCACCGAGAGCACGUGGUCUGGUUUAUCGGGACAAUUCAUGGAGUGAAACAUGGCAGAAAAAGUGGAACAGAGUUGUCAUCGGGAGAGCAAGAGGUAGGCCCUUAGUCAGUGGC